AUUGAACGCUGGCGGCGUGCUUUACACAUGCAAGUCGAACGGUGAAGGUGGAGCUUGCUCCGCCGGAUCAGUGGCGAACGGGUGAGUAACACGUGGGCAACCUGCCCCUAACUUUGGGAUAACUACUCGAAAGAGUAGCUAAUACCGGAUAUGAAGUCUGUAGGCAUCUAUGGAUUUGGAAAGUUUUUCGGUUAGGGAUGGGCCCGCGGCCUAUCAGCUUGUUGGUGAGGUAGUGGCUCACCAAGGCGACGACGGGUAGCCGGCCUGAGAGGGCGACCGGCCACACUGGGACUGAGACACGGCCCAGACUCCUACGGGAGGCAGCAGUGGGGAAUAUUGCGCAAUGGGCGAAAGCCUGACGCAGCAACGCCGCGUGCGGGAUGAAGGCCUUCGGGUUGUAAACCGCUUUCAGCAGGGAAGAAGCGAAAGUGACGGUACCUGCAGAAGAAGCACCGGCUAACUACGUGCCAGCAGCCGCCGUAA
RNAcentral lists this ribosomal RNA (483 nucleotides) under uncultured bacterium. RNAcentral's name for it is "partial 16S ribosomal RNA". It matches the Rfam family "Bacterial small subunit ribosomal RNA", at positions 30 to 523 of the family's 1533-position model. The record is from RNAcentral.